GACGAACGCUGGCGGCGUGCUUAACACAUGCAAGUCGAACGGAAAGGCCCUGCUUUUGUGGGGUGCUCGAGUGGCGAACGGGUGAGUAACACGUGAGUAACCUGCCCUUGACUUUGGGAUAACUUCAGGAAACUGGGGCUAAUACCGGAUAGGAGCUCCUGCUGCAUGGUGGGGGUUGGAAAGUUUCGGCGGUUGGGGAUGGACUCGCGGCUUAUCAGCUUGUUGGUGGGGUAGUGGCUUACCAAGGCUUUGACGGGUAGCCGGCCUGAGAGGGUGACCGGCCACAUUGGGACUGAGAUACGGCCCAGACUCCUACGGGAGGCAGCAGUGGAGAAUAUUGCACAGUGGGCGGAAGCCUGAUACAGCAACGCCGCGUGCGGGAUGACGGCCUUCGGGUUAUAAACCGCUUUCGCCUGUGACGAAGCGUGAGUGACGGUAAUGGGUAAAGAAGCACCGGCUAACUACGUG
RNAcentral lists this ribosomal RNA (468 nucleotides) under uncultured bacterium. RNAcentral describes it as "partial 16S ribosomal RNA". It matches the Rfam family "Bacterial small subunit ribosomal RNA", at positions 28 to 507 of the family's 1533-position model. The record is from RNAcentral.